Molecule: Y RNA, 109 nt
Filed under: Propithecus coquereli (Coquerel's sifaka)
Lineage: Eukaryota; Metazoa; Chordata; Mammalia; Primates; Indriidae
Description: Y RNA (ENSPCOG00000005549.1)
Rfam family: Y RNA
About the family: Y RNAs are components of the Ro ribonucleoprotein particle (Ro RNP), in association with Ro60 and La proteins. The Y RNAs and Ro60 and La proteins are well conserved, but the function of the Ro RNP is not known. In humans the RNA component can be one of four small RNAs -- hY1, hY3, hY4 and hY5.
Source: Rfam by way of RNAcentral
GGCUGGUCCGCAGGAGCAAGUUAUCUCAACUGACUGUUCAGUCAGUUACAAAUCGAACUCCUUGUUCUACUCUUUCCCCCUUCUCACUACUGUACUUGACUAGUCUUUA